UGGUGGAGUUCACGUGCAUUCAGCUGUAUCCGGCAUGAAUUGAACGCACCCUAGUGCACCAAUGCACCUCCCAGAUAAUUAUCACGUACUCUUUUAUGAAGACUCAGAAUCCUGUACAGUAUGGAAGAAUGCGUCUGAUGCACCUUGAUGCGUUCGAAAUGGAAUCAUGGCGGAAUAUCUUUUGAUGGACCCUUCUAUAGAACAAACACCUGAAGGGAAGCGAGGACUGGACCCGAGAACAUGUUCAGAAACGAAGGAAAGUUCUUCACCUGAGCCGGUGUUUUUCUCGCAUAGCCUAAAGCUGCACGUAACACGGUUCAUGUCAAAAGUGAAAGUUUCUCAAGGGACUCCAUUUUGUGGAAGGAAGAGCACGAACGACGCCAGGCGAGAAUUGGAUUUAAGACAAAAGUUUUUAAUCUGCUGCCUGGAGAAAGGAUGGAUUUCUGAACGGAAUGCAGUUUGUGUUUGAUGUUCUUCGUCGUUGAAACAGCGCACUUCCUGUAAAAUGAGUCAGAGAACGGAGACUUCUGCUCAGAAAUGCGAAGCAGCAUCACCAGAACCCAGCUGCGUGUCCGUGAAGAGCGACGGAUCCAUGAACCCUCCCCCUCAACUUUGUGAUGGAGCAGUGACCUGUGACCCCGAUAGUUCUGAUUGUAAUGUGAGACUCUGUGAGUGGAGAAAGGAGGGGGUUAACAUUCAGAAACACAAAGCAGCACCUCUGGAGCCCAGCUGUGUUUCACUGAAGAGAUACAGAUUCAUGAAUGACCCUACUGAGCUCAGUGAUGGAGCAGUGAC
Puntigrus tetrazona (Sumatra barb) is the source of this 795-nucleotide long non-coding RNA. RefSeq lists it as uncharacterized. NCBI's taxonomy places the organism in Eukaryota, Metazoa, Chordata, Actinopteri, Cypriniformes, Cyprinidae. The record is from RefSeq and is a predicted model, not a curated record. The transcript has 3 exons.